This 496-nucleotide ribosomal RNA is filed under the name uncultured bacterium. RNAcentral's name for it is "partial 16S ribosomal RNA". It matches the Rfam family "Bacterial small subunit ribosomal RNA", at positions 29 to 507 of the family's 1533-position model. The record is from RNAcentral.
AUGAACGCUGGCGGCGUGCCUAAUACAUGCCAGUCGAGCGAACAGAUGAGGAGCUUGCUCCUCUGACGUUAGCGGCGGACGGGUGAGUAACACGUGGAUAACCUACCAAUAAGACUGGGAUAACUUCGGGAAACCGGAGCUAAUACCGGAUAAUAUAUUGAACCGCAUGGUUCAAUAGUGAAAGACGGUUUUGCUGUCACUUAUAGAUGGAUCCGCGCCGCAUUAGCUAGUUGGUAAGGUAACGGCUUACCAAGGCAACGAUGCGUAGCCGACCUGAGAGGGUGAUCGGCCACACUGGAACUGAGACACGGUCCAGACUCCUACGGGAGGCAGCAGUAGGGAAUCUUCCGCAAUGGGCGAAAGCUUGACGGAGCAACGCCGCGUGAGUGAUGAAGGUCUUCGGAUCGUAAAACUCUGUUAUUAGGGAAGAACAAAUGUGUAAGUAACUAUGCACGUCUUGACGGUACCUAAUCAGAAAGCCACGGCUAACUACGUG